Molecule: ribosomal RNA, 372 nt
Filed under: Simulium caudisclerum
Lineage: Eukaryota; Metazoa; Arthropoda; Insecta; Diptera; Simuliidae
Description: eukaryotic LSU rRNA
Rfam family: Eukaryotic large subunit ribosomal RNA
Source: RNAcentral
GCCUGAUCAGGUUGAAGUCAGGGGAAACCCUGAUGGAAGACCGAAGCAGUUCUGACGUGCAAAUCGAUUGUCAGAAUUGGGCAUAGGGGCGAAAGACCAAUCGAACCAUCUAGUAGCUGGUUCCCUCCGAAGUUUCCCUCAGGAUAGCUGGUGCAUAUACCGUUUCAUUAAACUUAAUAAAUCUUAUCUGGUAAAGCGAAUGAUUAGAGGCAUUAGGUUCGAAACGUUCUUAACCUAUUCUCAAACUAUAAAUGGGUACGAUAUAAGAGUUUCUUGAUUGAACUCUUAUUUCACGCUAUAAUGGCGUACCAUAUCAAACAUUUAUAACAUGUUUGUAAUUUGGUUUAGAUUUAUUGUGCCCAGUGGGCCAAG